AAGGGAGACCUAAUUCAGGUAGGAGACGAAAAAAAAGUAGUCCCAACCAAGAAUCAAUCCCAAAAGGUCGGAGCGAGGCGAAAUUGGCUUUCAAACUAGGUUCUGGGUUCACACAAGACCUGAAUCAGGAACAAGGGCUAUUAGCUCAGGUGGUUAGAGCGCACCCCUGAUAAGGGUGAGGUCCCUGGUUCGAGUCCAGGAUGGCCCACCUGCACAGGUGGCAAAAACAAGAGAAGCGAGGAAUCAGCACCUUAUCUUAUCUAUAUAUAUAUAGGAGAGAAUGCUGGCUCUGAGUAAAGAGUCCAGAGGGACCUUGAAAACUGCAUAGAGCUAGGUGAAAAAGCCAAAAAAGAAGACCGCAA
Molecule: transfer RNA, 362 nt
Filed under: uncultured Microcystis sp.
Lineage: Bacteria; Bacillati; Cyanobacteriota; Cyanophyceae; Chroococcales; Microcystaceae
Description: partial 16S-23S ribosomal RNA intergenic spacer
Rfam family: tRNA (bases 135-208)
Source: RNAcentral